Peromyscus californicus insignis is the source of this 3252-nucleotide long non-coding RNA. RefSeq lists it as uncharacterized. The record is from RefSeq and is a predicted model, not a curated record. The transcript is spliced from 3 exons. Lineage: Eukaryota; Metazoa; Chordata; Mammalia; Rodentia; Cricetidae.
CUGCCGAGAACCGACGAGGUCCUACACUGUGAGGAGGAGCUGGUUUGGCCUGAGAUAUACACUUGUUUCUCAUCUCUAACCUCUCUGCUAUAGAUAUGACACAGUGUCAGUUACACGUUGUUCGCUGUUUACAUCAGUAUAACUGUAGAUGCUCUUCAAAGCCAUGUCCUUCAUUGUGGACCACCUUGACUGUCAACUUGACUGAAUUUCCAGCUAGGAGACAGACUUCACAGGACAUCUAGGAGGACACUGAGGUGGGAAGAUACAGCCUGAGUGUAGAUGGUACUGGACUCAGUAGAAGGAAGAACAAGCACUGUAUUCAUUUCUCACUCUCUGAAUUUGGACCCAGUGUGAUCAUGCUCCUUCUCCCUGAGCUAGAACUGAUCUCACUGCCCUACAUUCCCUGCUGGGAUGGACUGUACCUUCAAACUGUGAGCCGAAAGAGAUCCUUUUGUAAGCUUCUUUUGUCAGCUCUGUUGUGAUAGCAAUGAGAAGAGUAAUUAAGACUGAAACCUGAGACCGAGAGUAAAGUUGUUGCUGUGAAAUAGCUGACUGGUCCUUAGACAUUUGGAACUAGCUUGUGAGAAAAUAACUUUGAAGAGCUUGGCACUGAAGUCUAGAAAAGUCUUACAAUCUACAGAGAAUUUGAUGAGUACUUCUUAGGGGAGUUUGGAAGAGCAGACGGUUAAUUUAAUACAGGCCUCGAAGGCUUGCUUUGAGAGGUUUCAGAGCAGAACAAGGACGCCUAUCGAGAACUGUGCUGGAGGGUAUUAAUGUUACAUUCUCACAAGGACUUGCUUCAUUCUGGCCAUGUCCUGGAGCACUUAAGUUGGAUUGCAUUUAAAAGUAAUGGCAUUCAUUCUUUGGAGGAAAUUCAAGAUAUCACAGCAUUCAAGCUACAGCAUGAUUCUAGUUCUCUGACCUUCUCCAGGUCUACUAGUGAAAGAGAACAGCAAAUGGAGAGGAGAGAAAUGGAAAUUGUGAAGUUUGGAGAAGACAGGAGUGUGAACAAGCUUAAAGCUGCAGACAAGGCAUUCUUGGAGACGGCAGCUAUAAUUGUUAAAAAGAUCGGUAUCAUUAAAGAAAACCUAUUCUUUACUGGGAUGAUAGGAAAAGCGUCUUGAGAAUAAGAGUCUACCUAUCAAAGGCUCCAACUUGUGAAAGUACAAAUUCAUUUGAAAGGAAUCUAUACCGAAAAAAAAAAAAGUCACUGAGGGGUUUUUCUGGUUUUUAAAAAUUCCAAUUGCUUAGAAAAUUUAAAAAAAAAAAGAAAACAAACAAAAACUCAGCCAUUUAAGUGCCCAGAGAGCACUACAAUUGGGUUGAAAGGGGCCAGACUACAUCUUGAGCUUGCUGAAGAACUUGGCAGCAUGCUCUACACAGUACUCACAUUACAGGCAUACAAAAUAGAAGAGUACAAGAGUGAUGGAGAUCUGAACCAAGGUUCCAGAAAGCUGCUGAGACCAGGCAAUGUGAGGCAAGGCCAGACUACUUCAAAGGAACCCAAGAGGCCAUUGCCUUAAGCCAGGGAAGCCUGCAGUGGAGAUCCCAGCAUGUUGGAGAUGGCAGGACAGUGAGAUGUGUGCUGGGGAAACUUCAAGCGUGAAGUGGAGCUGACUCUAGAAGUAGGUUAAGUGUGCUCCAGACAGCAAAACUCCAGAGUCGGGGCUCCCCAAGCCUAUGGUAGAUGAGAGGCUACCACCAGAAGUCUCAGAUGACCAACACAGAGCUGUAGAAUUUGGUGUUUGCCUUAUUAGGGUUUUGUUCUUGCCUUGGUCCAGUCUCAAGUUGGAAUGCUCCCAUUCCUUCAUUUAGGGUUGGCAAUAUUUAUCCUGUGUCAUACGUAGAAAUUAUAUGCCAUUUUUAUCUUCUGUUUUUUUUUCCUAGAGCUGAGGACUGAACCCAGUGCCUUGAGCUUGCUAGGCAAACGCUCUACCACUGAACUAAAUCCCCAGUCCCACCAUUUUUAUUUUCUAGGGGCUCACUGUUAAGAAUUUAUUUGAGUCACGAACAAGAUUCUGAACUUAAAUUAUGAAUAUUUUGGAAGUAAAGAUAUGUUGGAAGCUUUUAAAGAUGGAUAAAAUGUGUUUAUUUUAUUUUUGCAUUAUGAAAUGAACAUAGGGAACAGAAGUGAAAUGUUAGUGAUAUAUUUGGGCUUCAGCUUGACUAAGGGAUGGAUUUAAGAUUGCUAAUCUUUACUGUUGAUUUGAUUAGAUAUAUCAGCCAGGAGAAAAAUCUCUGCACAUGGUAUAAGGGUGCUUUCAGAGACAUCUGACUGAGGUGGGAAGACCUACCCUGUAACUUACAUGGCAAGAGUGAAAAUGCUCUAGUGAGACAGCUGUGCUACUCCAAGUAUCAAACUAUUGAAAUAAUGGACCCCAAGAAAUUGGAAUUUACAGAGGAAACUCACGCAGAAGGAUGGCUUGUCUCUUAGAAGGAAAUUUCAUAGUUCUGACAUCUUGUCAGAGCAUUUUUGCCAGAGAGUCUGCAGCCCAGACUAUGAUUGUGGGUGGGACUGCACCUUGACCAGCACGGCUUAGUUAUGCUCAUGCCUUCUAGAUAUGACAGAACUGCUGUACCCCUGAUCACAGAAGCUGUGGUUGCCUACACAAGACCUGCGCAAGACCAAGUCAGCCGACAUUCCAGCAUGGGGAGUUGUUCCCCAGCUUCCAUUCCUAACUAAGGAGCUAUGAACAGCUGGUGGCUUCCAGGGGAGGGAGAGUUAGUUCUCUUUAAGAGUAAGGGCCCAGGCUGGAUGGUGGUGGCGCAUGCCUUUAAUCCCAGCACUCAGGAGGCAGAGCCAGGCGGAUCUUUGUGAGUUUGAGGCCAGCCUGGUCUACAGAGCAAGAUCGAGGAAAGGCACAAAGCUACACAGAGAAAAUCUGUCUCGAAAAACCAAAAAAUAAAAAAUAAAAAUAAAUAAAAUGUAUUUUCUAAUCCUUUUCAGUGGAGCUGGGGACAAUAUACAAGUGGAUAUGUGUGUUCAUUCAUCUUCUUUUUAGCUGAAAGUAGUAAUGUCAUUCUUUGAGUUUGUAGUAUGUCUGGAUCCAGUACAGAUGGAGUUCCCUAACCCCCUAGUUCUCAAAGUUGCUUCAUUUUAAAAAAAUGGAAAUUUUAAUAGAUUUUUAAUCCCCCAUAUAAUUUCUCUUUAUUCAAAUCAUCUUAUUCCGUAAACAAUUUCAUUCUUUGAUCUUAGAAGAUUAACCUUGGCACUUAAACGUUGUGUACCUAAGACACGAGGCACCUUUGUGA